Molecule: signal recognition particle RNA, 266 nt
Filed under: Melghirimyces algeriensis
Lineage: Bacteria; Bacillati; Bacillota; Bacilli; Caryophanales; Thermoactinomycetaceae
Description: Thermoactinomycetaceae bacterium NariEX Bacterial large signal recognition particle RNA
Rfam family: Bacterial large signal recognition particle RNA
About the family: The signal recognition particle (SRP) is a universally conserved ribonucleoprotein involved in the co-translational targeting of proteins to membranes. Archaeal SRP consists of a 7S RNA and homologues of the eukaryotic SRP19 and SRP54 proteins. In most bacteria, the SRP consists of a 4.5S RNA and the Ffh protein (a homologue of the eukaryotic SRP54 protein).
Source: Rfam by way of RNAcentral
CCGCGCUAGAUGGGGAGCUGGCGGUGCCCUGUAGCCUGCAAUCCGCCUUAGCGGGAUCGAAUACCCGUCAGCGGUCUUCAUUGUGUGGGGUCCGGUUCAUGUGAGAAGUGUUGACGAACAGGUCCUGCGCAACGGAAAUCUCCGAACUGUGUCAGGUCCUGACGGAAGCAGCACUAAGGGGAAUCUUCCGUGUGCCGCAGGAGUGCCUGAUCUGAGCGGAUCACAUGAAGCCCGCCUAGGCGAAGAAGAUCAAUGGCGGGGCGCGG